RNAcentral lists this ribosomal RNA (433 nucleotides) under uncultured bacterium. Its description in RNAcentral is "partial 16S ribosomal RNA". It matches the Rfam family "Bacterial small subunit ribosomal RNA", at positions 29 to 507 of the family's 1533-position model. The record is from RNAcentral.
AACGAACGCUGGCGGCAUGCCUAACACAUGCAAGUCGAACGAGACCUUCGGGUCUAGUGGCGCACGGGUGCGUAACGCGUGGGAACCUGCCCUUAGGUUCGGAAUAACUCCCCGAAAGGGGUGCUAAUACCGGAUAAUGUCUUCGGACCAAAGAUUUAUCGCCCUUGGAUGGGCCCGCGUUGGAUUAGCUAGUUGGUAGGGUAAAAGCCUACCAAGGCGACGAUCCAUAGCUGGUCGGAGAGGAUGAUCAGCCACACUGGGACUGAGACACGGCCCAGACUCCUACGGGAGGCAGCAGUGGGGAAUAUUGGACGAUGGGCGAAAGCCUGAUCCAGCAAUGCCGCGUGAGUGAUGAAGGCCUUAGGGUUGUAAAGCUCUUUUACCCGGGAUGAUAAUGACAGUACCGGGAGAAUAAGCUCCGGCUAACUCCGUG